This is a long non-coding RNA of Pocillopora damicornis (cauliflower coral), 1403 nucleotides long. RefSeq lists it as uncharacterized. Lineage: Eukaryota; Metazoa; Cnidaria; Anthozoa; Scleractinia; Pocilloporidae. The record is from RefSeq and is a predicted model, not a curated record.
GAUUUGAAAUCUUUUGGAAAAAAAACCAGCUUGCUUCGAUACAAGACCGGAAAGAGAGAGCACCUUGGCAUCUCUUACUUUUAAAAUAUUAUCGUCGUCAUUUGGUGGUAAAUAGACCAAAGAUAGACGGAAAGAGUGGUCGGAAAAGGAAGAUAUCAUGACCUCGUGUCACCAAAAGAGGUGCUCCAAACAAAGAAGUCAGUUUCACCCAACAAAUCACUAUGAGGUCUUAAUCUGUGAUGCAAAGACUUGAUCCCACAAAAAAAGAAUGAAAAGGAUAUGCAGUGAGUGUGUUGAUUGUUUUGGCCACUGGGCUGUCUUUAUGUGCUGAACAGAGAGUGGACUUCGUACAAGAGAUGGGUGACAAAGAGCUGAUCACCCACAAAGGUGUCAGUUCCACCCAACAAAUCUCUUCCUUAGUCUUAAUCUGUGAUGCAAAGACUUGGUCCCACUGAAAAAGAAGGAAAAGGAUAUGUAGUGAGUGUGUUGAUUGUUUCAAUCAUUAGACUUUCUUUAUGUGCUGAACAGAGAGUGGACUAAAUUGUACAGAAGAUGGGCAUCUAAGAGCUGACCCAAUUUCACCCAAAAUAUCUCUUCCUUAGUCUUAAUCUGUCAUGCAAAGACUUGGUCCCUCAAAAAAAGGAAUAGGGAAAGCAGUGAGUGUGUUGAUUGUUUUGGCCAUUGGACUGUCUCUAUGUGCUCAGAACAGAAAGUGGACUUUGUACAAGAGAUGGGUGCCUAAGAGCUGAUCACCAACAAAGGAGUCAGUUUCACCCAACUAAUCUCUUCCUUAGUCUUAAUCUGUGCUGCAAAGACUAGGUCCCACAAAAAAAAGGAAAAGGAUAUGCAGGGAGAGUGUGAUUGUUUUGGCCACUGGACUGUCUUUAUGUGCUGAACAGAAAGUGGACUUUGUACAAGAGAUGGAUGACAAAGAGCUGAUCACCCACAAAGGUGUCAGUUCAACCCAACAAAUCUCUUCCUUAGUCUUACUCUGUGCUACAAAGACUAGGUCCCACAAAAAAAAGGAAAAGGAUAUGCAGGGAGUGUGUUGAUUGUUUUGGCCAAGGGACUGUCUUAGAGUGCUGAACAGAGAGUGGACUUUGUACAAGAGAUGGGCACCUAAGAGCUGACUCACACACGAGUCAGUUCAACCCAACAAAUCUUUUCUUUAGUCUUACUCUGUUCUACAAAGACUAGGUCCCACAAAAAAAAAAAGGAAAAGGAUAUGCAGGGAGUGUGUUGAUUGUUUUGGCCAAGGGACUGUCUUAGAGUGCUGAACAGAGAGUGGACUUUGUACAAGAGAUGGGCACCUAAGAGCUGACUCACACAUGAGUCAGUUUUACCCAACAAAUCUCUUCCUUAGUCUUUAUCUGUGAUGCAAAGACUUGGUCCUACAAAAAAAA